CGUUAGGAGUCCUUUGCCAGAGUUCCCGCAACAACUCAGGCCAGAGAGGUCCAAUUUGCGGCCAGGGCGUGCUUAGCCUCUCCACUGAACGGACCUUUCUGAACCGAAAGUCCUCACGGAAACAAAGCAAAAACGGCGUAUGGACAUCUCUCUGUUAAGGACUCAGAGAAUGGAUUUCAAUCUUUCCCAGGGCUUACAAAGACCACCUGCUGUAGCUGAACCCAGAAAAUGGUCCCUUUGCCUUUGCUGCUAUCCACUCUUGCAAAAGAAACCUCAAUGAUCCUCCUUGGCUCCACCUCUCUGCCUUCCUGUGGGAAUGCGGCUAUGAGAUCACUUCUGAGAGACACAGUCUCUGGACAAAGGAUAUUCUCAUGUGAAAGAUUAACUGAUGUUGACCAACUAACCUCCAAAGAGUUGAGCCAACUGACGAUGCUUCUCACCUGGUAGGAAAGAGCCUGUCCAAUCCUACACAUCAUUACAAAAACUAGGUGAUAAUGGCUUCAUUUUCAGUGGCUUGCUCAGGGUUAUGAAGAAGAACAAAGGGUAUUAUGGGAGAGCAUGCUGAACUGCAAUUUACUGCUAUACUGAAACAAUCAUGCUUCUUUACAAUGUACCUGCUACAACAGCCAUAUACGAAGAAGUGAGGCGAGGUCACAGGUAAUGCCACCUCCAGCAGACAAGGACUUUUGAAAUGUGGGUUCAUCUU
Molecule: long non-coding RNA, 706 nt
Organism: Felis catus (domestic cat)
Lineage: Eukaryota; Metazoa; Chordata; Mammalia; Carnivora; Felidae
Exons: 3
Source: RefSeq, a predicted model, not a curated record